CCCUUAGAUGUCCUGGGCCGCACGCGCGCUACACUGAGUGUCUGAGAUACGAGUCUGCCUGGUCCGGCAAGGUCUAGGUAAUCGCUAAAAGACACAUCAUGCUUGGGAUAGAUUAUUGCAAAUAUUAUUCUUGAACGAGGAAUUCCUAGUAAGCGCAAGUCAACAGCUUGCGUUGAUUACGUCCCUGCCCUUUGUACACACCGCCCGUCGCUACUACUGAUUGGAUGUUUAAGCGAGGUUCUCGAACUGCUAGCGACUUAGCUUCGGUGAGGUCGCAGUGUGGGAAGUGAACCUAGCUUUGGUGUCUAGAGGAAGUAAAAGUCGUAACA
Molecule: ribosomal RNA, 329 nt
Filed under: uncultured eukaryote
Lineage: Eukaryota
Description: partial 18S ribosomal RNA
Rfam family: Eukaryotic small subunit ribosomal RNA
Source: RNAcentral